GACCAAGAAGUCUAACAUGUGUGCGAGUCAUUGGGCAUUUUGUUGAAACCUAAGGGCGCAAUUAAAAUAACUAUUUUAUGGGAUUACAAGUGAAUUAAUUUUCAUUUCUCCAUCCCGGGGCGUUCUAUACGAACAUGGUUUAAGCAAUUGAACCCUCUGUUCAAGAGCGUACCUUGAGCAUACAUGCUGUGACCCGAAAGAUGGUGAACUAUACCUGAUCAGAUCGAAGCCAGGAGAAAUUCUGGUGGAGGAUCGAAACAGUUCUGACGUGCAAAUCGAUUGUCAGAAUUGGGUAUAGGGGCGAAAGACCAAUCGAACCAUCUAGUAGCUGGUUCCCUCCGAAGUUUCCCUCAGGAUAGCUGGCGCAAAGAAUUAUAUUAUAUAUAAUCUUAUCUGGUAAAGCGAAUGAUUAGAGGCCUUGGGGCCGAAACGACCUCAACCUAUUCUCAAACUUUAAAUGGGUAAGAACCUCAUCUUUCUUGAUCUGAAGAUAUUGGGGUUUAGAUAUAUUGUGCCCAGUGGGCCACUUUUGGUAAGCAGAACUGGCGCUGUGGGAUGAACCAAACAUGAUGUUACGGCGCCUAAAUUAAUGACUCAUAUUGAUACCAUGAAAGGCGUUGGUUGCUUAAAACAGCAGGACGGUGGACAUGGAAGUCGUAAUCCGCUAAGGAGUGUGUAACAACUCACCUGCCGAAGCAACUAGCCCUUAAAAUGGAUGGCGCUCAAGUCAUAUGCCUAUACAUCAUCGCUAGAAUAAAAAUUGUUGAUCAUUUGGUCAUCAUUAUGAAAUUCUAGUGAGUAGGAGGGUACAAUGGUGUGCGCAGAAGUGUUUGGCGUGAGCCUGCAUGAAGCCGCCAUUGGCACAGAUCUUGGUGGUAGUAGCAAAUAAUCGAAUGAGAUCUUGGAGGACUGAAGUGGAGAAGGGUUUCGUGUGAACAGUGGUUGAUCACGAGUUAGUCGGUCCUAAGCCUUAUGCGAAAGCUGUUUAAUUUAUGUUACACACAAAUAAUUUAAAAAAAUUGUUGUACAUAAUUCAAUAAAGGCGAAAGGGAAUACGGUUCCAAUUCCGUAACCUGUUGAGUAUACGUUUGUUUAUUAAAAAUGGGUCUUAUUACACUCAUCCUGGCAACAGGAACGACCAUAGAGAAGCCUUCGAGAGAUACUGGAAGAGUUUUCUUUUCUGCUAAACAAACGUAUCACCAUGGAAGUCUUUUAUAGAGAGAUAUGGUGGAUGGCUUGGAAGAGCAUGACAUUUACUGUUGUGUCAGUAUUUUCUCCUUGGACCUUGAAAAUCUAUGGUGGGGCCACGCAAACUUCUCAACAGACCGUACCGAUAUCCGCAG
Molecule: ribosomal RNA, 1343 nt
Filed under: Corynoptera boletiphaga
Lineage: Eukaryota; Metazoa; Arthropoda; Insecta; Diptera; Sciaridae
Description: eukaryotic LSU rRNA
Rfam family: Eukaryotic large subunit ribosomal RNA
Source: RNAcentral